UCGCCUGUUUAUCAAAAACAUCACCUAAUAUUUAGGCUUUACCUGCUCAAUGAUAAAAAUUAAAUAGCCAAACUAUGCUAAGGUAGCAUAAUAAUUUGCUUUAUAAUUAAAAGAUGGAAUGAAUGGUAUUUCUAAAAAUAAUUAUUUUAUUAUUAAAUUAAAUUUUUAUAAAGUUGAAAAUUACUUUAUAUUCUUUUUAGACGAUAAGACCCUAUGAAGCUUUAUUAAAUAAAUAAACUAAUAAUAAAGAAUUUAAUUUUUUUGGGGCAAAAAAAAAAUUUUUUAUUUUUACUUAGCUAUGUACUGAUCUUUAUGAAUUUUAAGAGAAAGCUACUCUAGGGAUAACAGCAUAAUUUUUAAAAAAGUUCUUAUUAAAAUAAAAGUUUGUGACCNCGAUGUUGA
RNAcentral lists this ribosomal RNA (402 nucleotides) under Boeckella michaelseni complex sp. B SJA-2009. RNAcentral's name for it is "partial 16S ribosomal RNA". The record is from RNAcentral. Lineage: Eukaryota; Metazoa; Arthropoda; Copepoda; Calanoida; Centropagidae.